RNAcentral lists this long non-coding RNA (208 nucleotides) under Elaeis guineensis (African oil palm). RNAcentral describes it as "long non-coding RNA (EGUI_LNC063559)". Lineage: Eukaryota; Viridiplantae; Streptophyta; Magnoliopsida; Arecales; Arecaceae. The record is from RNAcentral.
CGGUUGGAGAGAACAUCAUCGGAAUUCCAAAAUCUGGCAGUAGGGUGGGCCACUUAGGCCAGUCACCCUGUCUUUCCUGGAAAGAUAAGUUCGAGGGUGGAGAGCCCUCAGUCCGAUCAUGAUUCUACUCCCGGAGGAUCUCUACCUCCAUUCUGUCCGAAGAUCCUCAAGACCCGCAGUCGAGAGGACUUCCUGGAUCGAAGGAUCC